This 2134-nucleotide unclassified non-coding RNA is filed under the name uncultured fungus. RNAcentral describes it as "sequence contains 18S rRNA gene, ITS1, 5.8S rRNA gene, ITS2, 28S rRNA gene". The stretch from base 1195 to 2134 matches the Rfam family "Eukaryotic large subunit ribosomal RNA", at positions 1 to 961 of the family's 3401-position model. The record is from RNAcentral. Lineage: Eukaryota; Fungi.
AAAUGGAUCAUUCACAAAACGACGUUUAGUCUUAUGGUAUCCUCCUGUAUUAAUCAAUUUAAAAGUCGCUGGUGAAAUCUCAAAAUUGAAAAAAAUGCUUUUGGUGGUGUCAUGAGUCAAACAAUUAAAAUGUUCUUGGUGGUGUCAUGAGUCAAACAAUUAUAAUGCUUUUGGUGGUGUUACGAGUUAAACAAUCAUAAUGCUUUUGGUGGUGGCACGAGUUAAACAAUCAUAAUGCUUUUGGUGGUGUCAUGAGUCAAACAAUUAUAAUGCUUUUGGUGGUGUCAUGAGUCAAACAAUUAUAAUGCUUUUGGUGGUGUCACGAGUUAAACAAUCAUAAUGCUUUUGGUGGUGUCACGAGUUAAACAAUCAUAAUGCUUUUGGUGGUGUCACGAGUUAAACAAUCAUAAUGCUUUUGGUGGUGUCACGAGUCAAACAAUCAUAAUGCUUUUGGUGGUGUCACGAGUCAAACAAUUAUAAUGCUUUUGGUGGUGUCACGAGUCAAACAAUCAUAAUGCUUUUGGGUUCACGAGUCAAACAAUCAUAAUGCUUUUGGUGGUGUCACGAGUCAAACAAUCAUAAUGCUUUUGGUGGUGUCACGAGUCAAACAAUUAUAAUGCAUUUGGUUCUGUUUUGUGAAUAGAGUAGAUGAUACUGGAUAAGUUCUGGUCCGAAGGUAAUGGGUUAUUAUUCCAACACAUCCCAGAACCAUCAUUAGACUAGAUCUUCCACAGGGAUAGGAUACUUUAGUAUUCUAUGGUGUGGGCCUGCCUUGCCGUGGAUCCUGUGGCUGUACCUUUUGGUGGGUACCUAAGUGGUCCUCCGCCUUGAUGGCGUCUUAUGGUUAAUGUAAUGAGUCAAACAGAUGUAAUGAAUUUGGUUUUCUUCAUGAAUAAUCUUGAGAUAAUUUCAUUUACGCCUUUCAGCGAUGGAUGUCUCGGAUCUCGUAACGAUGAAGAACGCAGCUAGCUGCGAGAUGCAGUGUGACAUGCGAACUUCUGUGAAUCAUUAGAUUUUUGAACGCAAAAGGUACUUUUAAAUUUACUUUAGAAGUAUGUUCAAUUCAGUGCUUUAAUAUUUUUGUUGUCCUAAUUGGUGGUCAACGUGGAUAGUUGUUGCAUUUGCGACGGCUGAAAGACAAGUGGCUACGUUUUUUAGGUGAACCUUUACAAACUAUGUCCAACUUAUAUCAUUAAGCCUGAAUUUGAGCAAGGGUACCCGCUGAACUUAAGCAUAUUAUUAAGCGGAGGAAGAGAAACUAACUAGGAUUUCCUUAGUAACGGCGAGUGAACAGGAAACAGCUCAAACUGAAAAUCAACAGGCAACUGUUGAAUUGUAGUCUCAUGAAAGGCAGCCCGUGAAUGUCCUGAGUUAAGUCUCUUGGAAAAGAGCACCAAAGAGGGUGAAAGUCCCGUCUGUACUCAGAGAUAUUUACUUUCGGUGCAUUUUCAAAGAGUCGUGUUCCUUGAGAUUGGAGCGCUAAGUGGGUGAUAAAUUUCAUCUAAAGCUAAAUAUUAACGAGAUUCCGAUAGUGAACAAGUACCGUGAGGGAGCGAUGAAAAGAACUUUGAAAAGAGAGUUAAAAGGUACUGAAAUUGCUGAAAAGGAAGUGGAGAGUUUCGACGGUCUGGCUAAGUUUCUCAUGUGCUACGGGGAACUUCCCCACCAGUAUGUGGUAGAGAUUUGCAGUGACUCUGGAAGUGGUUUUUUAGCUUGAUAACAUUAUCGAUAGGGCUCUAAGGGCAACAUCUUUAAUGUCUUCAGGUUGAAUAAUCUAUGUAGUUCUAGUCCAACAUACUCUGUCGGACUAUGAUCUUCCAGUAAUGUUGAUUCUCUCCUUCCCGUCUUGAAUCACGGACCAAGGAGUCUAUUUCAUGUGCGAGUACAAGGGUUGAAAACCUACGUGCAAAAUGAAAGUAAUAGUCAGGAUGGUUUACCCCUGCACUGACAUUCGGUUACAUACCGAAGUAGAGCACAUAGAAUAGGACCCGAAAGAUGGUGAACUAUGCCUGAGUAGGGUGAAGCUAGAGGAAACUCUGGUGGAAGCUCGUAGCGAUACUGACGUGCAAAUCGUUCGUCAAACUUUGGUAUAGGGGCGAAAGACCAAUCGAACCAUCUAGUAGCUGGUUCCCUC